GACGAACGCUGGCGGCGUGCCUAAUACAUGCAAGUUGAGCGCACAGGCGUGGUGCUUGUUCCAACUGGAUGAGCAGCGGACGGGUGAGUAACGCGUGGGGAAUCUACCUUUGAGCGGGGGACAACAUUGGGAAACGAAUGCUAAUACCGCAUAAAAACUUUAAACACAAGUUUUAAUUGUGAAAGAUGCAAUUGCAGCACUCAAUGAUGAUCUCCCGGUGGAUUAGGUAGUUGGUGAGGUAAAGGCCCAACAAAGCGAAGAUACAUAGCCGGACUUAGAGGGUGAUCGGCCACAAUGGGAAUGGGAACCGGCCCAAACUCCUAAGGGAGGGAGCAGUAGGGAAACUUUGGGAAUGGACGAAAGGCUGAACGAGCAACGCCGGGGGAGUGGAGAAGGGUUUCGGAUCGUAAAACUCUGUUUGUAGAGAAGAACGUUGGUGGGAGUGGAAAGCUCAUGACGUGACGGUACCUAACCAGAAAGGGACGGCUAACUACGUG
This 497-nucleotide ribosomal RNA is filed under the name uncultured bacterium. RNAcentral describes it as "partial 16S ribosomal RNA". It matches the Rfam family "Bacterial small subunit ribosomal RNA", at positions 28 to 507 of the family's 1533-position model. The record is from RNAcentral.